AUAGCGUAUAUUAAAGUUGUUGCGGUUAAAAAGCUCGUAGUUGAACUUUAGGCAAGGCGGUCUGGUCAUCCAUUGGAUGUACUGGGCUCGCCGCGCCUCACCUUCGGGGAACUAGUCGUGCUUCGGUGCGCUAGGGAACCGAGCCUUACUUUGAAGAAAUUAGAGUGUUUAAAGCAGGCUUACGCUUGAAUACAUCAGCAUGGAAUAACAUGAUAGGACUAUGGUUCUAUUUUGUUGGUUUGAGGACCAAAGUAAUGAUUAAUAGGGACAGUUGGGGGCAUUAGUAUUCUAUAGUCAGAGGUGAAAUUCUUGGAUUUAUAGAAGACUAACUAAUG
Molecule: ribosomal RNA, 335 nt
Filed under: uncultured eukaryote
Lineage: Eukaryota
Description: SSU rRNA
Rfam family: Eukaryotic small subunit ribosomal RNA
Source: RNAcentral